AAUGAGCGAAUUGGUCUUUAAUAGCAUUGCAUGGUGGAAAUUUAAAAGGAACUUCUUUUUAUAUAGAGAAGAGGAGGUGCAUAUGGAAAUUUUAGAAGGAACAAGUUUUUGUAAUGAUGGAAUUUUUAGGAGGAACAAUUUUCUUUUUCUUCUUCUUUUCUCAGAGAAGAGGGAGGAGGAAGAGGAAAGGAGAAUAAUUUCAGGUGCUUUUCCAUAGUUCAAAAGAUGGGAAAGUGCUUCAAACAAUAAUUACAAGGUUUAUCUUGCGCGAUGCUAAAUUUGGACAAGUUUAUAUGAAGGGCAUAUAUAAGUCAGCUGCUCCAUCCAACAUUACUUCUAAAGAGUUUUGUUGGAAGAAAAACACUUCAAUUAGUCAUCAUCCCCUCCUCAUGCAUGCCAUUUCCAUGUGAAAACUGUUGAAUAUGUCCUUGGUACAUUACUAACGACUAUCGCAAGGGGACCUAAACUCCAUCAGUUCAUCAAGCAAUUCUUCCUUGAUUUUUUGCCAAGGCAGAGGCAAAUUCAUUGAGGUAUUUAACAUUCUAAUUUAACAUUAACAAAUUAUACUUUCUCAAAGUCUUGUAAUACCUUGAAA
Molecule: long non-coding RNA, 595 nt
Filed under: Phoenix dactylifera (date palm)
Lineage: Eukaryota; Viridiplantae; Streptophyta; Magnoliopsida; Arecales; Arecaceae
Description: long non-coding RNA (PDAC_LNC000865)
Source: RNAcentral